GACGAACCGUGCGAACGCUGUCCGGAAUCACUGGGCUUAAAGGGCGCGUAGGCGGGCUAUCAAGUCUGGGGUGAAAUCCCACGGCUCAACCGUGGAACUGCCUUAGAUACUGACGGCCUCGAGGGAGAUAGGGGCAUGCGGAACUGUAGGUGGAGCGGUGAAAUGCGUUGAUAUCUACAGGAACUCCGGUGGCGAAAGCGGCGUGCUGGAUCUCUUCUGACGCUGAGGCUCGAAAGCUAGGGGAG
RNAcentral lists this ribosomal RNA (245 nucleotides) under uncultured Gemmata sp. Its description in RNAcentral is "partial 16S ribosomal RNA". It matches the Rfam family "Bacterial small subunit ribosomal RNA", at positions 524 to 768 of the family's 1533-position model. Lineage: Bacteria; Pseudomonadati; Planctomycetota; Planctomycetia; Gemmatales; Gemmataceae. The record is from RNAcentral.